GUAGGGAAUCUUCCACAAUGGGCGCAAGCCUGAUGGAGCAACACCGCGUGAGUGAAGAAGGGUUUCGGCUCGUAAAGCUCUGUUGUUAAAGAAGAACACGUAUGAGAGUAACUGUUCAUGCGUUGACGGUAUUUAACCAGAAAGUCACGGCUAACUACGUGUCAGCAGCCGCGGUAAUACGUAGGUGGCAAGCGUUAUCCGGAUUUAUUGGGCGUAAAGAGAGUGCAGGCGGUUUUCUAAGUCUGAUGUGAAAGCCUUCGGCUUAACCGGAGAAGUGCAUCGGAAACUGGAUAACUUGAGUGCAGAAGAGGGUAGUGGAACUCCAUGUGUAGCGGUGGAAUGCGUAGAUAUAUGGAAGAACACCAGUGGCGAAGGCGGCUACCUGGUCUGCAACUGACGCUGAGACUCGAAAGCAUGGGUAGCGAACAGGAUUAGAUACCCUAGUAGUCC
This 450-nucleotide ribosomal RNA is filed under the name uncultured bacterium. RNAcentral describes it as "partial 16S ribosomal RNA". It matches the Rfam family "Bacterial small subunit ribosomal RNA", at positions 354 to 796 of the family's 1533-position model. The record is from RNAcentral.